This 578-nucleotide ribosomal RNA is filed under the name Arachnobas pauxillus. RNAcentral's name for it is "SSU rRNA". It matches the Rfam family "Eukaryotic small subunit ribosomal RNA", at positions 23 to 579 of the family's 1831-position model. The record is from RNAcentral. Lineage: Eukaryota; Metazoa; Arthropoda; Insecta; Coleoptera; Curculionidae.
GUCAUAUGCUUGUCUCAAAGAUUAAGCCAUGCAUGUCUCAGUACAAGCCAAAUUAAGGUGAAACCGCGAAAGGCUCAUUAAAUCAGUUAUGGUUCCUUAGAUCGUACUCACAAUUACUCGGAUAACUGUGGUAAUUCUAGAGCUAAUACAUGCAAACAGAGCUCCGACCGGAGACGGAAGGAGUGCUUUUAUUAGAUCAAAACCGAUCGGUGGCGGGUUCGCUCGUCAUCGUACAACUUGGUGACUCUGAAUAACUUUACGCUGAUCGCACGGUCAUCGCACCGGCGACGCAUCUUUCAAAUGUCUGCCUUAUCAACUGUCGAUGGUAGGUUCUGCGCCUACCAUGGUUGUAACGGGUAACGGGGAAUCAGGGUUCGAUUCCGGAGAGGGAGCCUGAGAAACGGCUACCACAUCCAAGGAAGGCAGCAGGCGCGCAAAUUACCCACUCCCGGCACGGGGAGGUAGUGACGAAAAAUAACGAUACGGGACUCAUCCGAGGCCCCGUAAUCGGAAUGAGUACACUCUAAACCCUUUAACGAGGAUCAAUUGGAGGGCAAGUCUGGUGCCAGCAGCCGCGG